RNAcentral lists this ribosomal RNA (433 nucleotides) under uncultured bacterium. RNAcentral's name for it is "partial 16S ribosomal RNA". It matches the Rfam family "Bacterial small subunit ribosomal RNA", at positions 28 to 507 of the family's 1533-position model. The record is from RNAcentral.
GGCGAACGCUGGCGGCAGGCCUAACACAUGCAAGUCGAACGGACCCUUCGGGGUUAGUGGCGGACGGGUGAGUAACACGUGGGAACGUGCCUUUAGGUUCGGAAUAACUCCUGGAAACGGGUGGUAAUGCCGAAUGUGCCCUUCGGGGGAAAGAUUUAUCGCCUUUAGAGCGGCCCGCGUCUGAUUAGCUAGUUGGUGAGGUAACGGCUCACCAAGGCGACGAUCAGUAGCUGGUCUGAGAGGAUGACCAGCCACACUGGGACUGAGACACGGCCCAGACUCCUACGGGAGGCAGCAGUGGGGAAUCUUGCGCAAUGGGCGAAAGCCUGACGCAGCCAUGCCGCGUGAAUGAUGAAGGUCUUAGGAUUGUAAAAUUCUUUCACCGGGGACGAUAAUGACGGUACCCGGAGAAGAAGCCCCGGCUAACUUCGUG